This 70-nucleotide transfer RNA is filed under the name Hylomys suillus microtinus. Its description in RNAcentral is "tRNA-Ala". It matches the Rfam family "tRNA". Rfam says of the family: Transfer RNA (tRNA) molecules are approximately 80 nucleotides in length. Their secondary structure includes four short double-helical elements and three loops (D, anti-codon, and T loops). The record is from RNAcentral. Lineage: Eukaryota; Metazoa; Chordata; Mammalia; Eulipotyphla; Erinaceidae.
UAAGGAUUUAGUUUAAAUAAAAUAGCUGUUUUGCAUGCAGCAGAUGUUAGGUCAUGUCUUGCAAUCCUUA